Molecule: transfer RNA, 75 nt
Filed under: Barnesiella intestinihominis
Lineage: Bacteria; Pseudomonadati; Bacteroidota; Bacteroidia; Bacteroidales; Barnesiellaceae
Also listed under: 4 other names
Description: tRNA-Met
Rfam family: tRNA
About the family: Transfer RNA (tRNA) molecules are approximately 80 nucleotides in length. Their secondary structure includes four short double-helical elements and three loops (D, anti-codon, and T loops). Further hydrogen bonds mediate the characteristic L-shaped molecular structure. tRNAs have two regions of fundamental functional importance: the anti-codon, which is responsible for specific mRNA codon recognition, and the 3' end, to which the tRNAs corresponding amino acid is attached (by aminoacyl-tRNA synthetases). tRNAs cope with the degeneracy of the genetic code in two manners: having more than one tRNA (with a specific anti-codon) for a particular amino acid; and 'wobble' base-pairing, i.e. permitting non-standard base-pairing at the 3rd anti-codon position.
Source: RNAcentral
CGCGGGGUGGAGCAGUGGUAGCUCGUUGGGCUCAUAACCCAAAGGUCGUCGGUUCGAGUCCGGCUCCCGCAACUA